Molecule: non-coding RNA, 32 nt
Filed under: Homo sapiens (human)
Lineage: Eukaryota; Metazoa; Chordata; Mammalia; Primates; Hominidae
Source: RNAcentral
UGGCAGGUGACUCCCUCAGCAGUGUAUGCCCU